This 300-nucleotide ribosomal RNA is filed under the name uncultured Thermodesulfobacterium sp. RNAcentral describes it as "bacterial SSU rRNA". It matches the Rfam family "Bacterial small subunit ribosomal RNA", at positions 496 to 795 of the family's 1533-position model. Lineage: Bacteria; Pseudomonadati; Thermodesulfobacteriota; Thermodesulfobacteria; Thermodesulfobacteriales; Thermodesulfobacteriaceae. The record is from RNAcentral.
GGUAACGCCGGGCAAGGAGCCGCGGUAAUACGGAUGAUCCAAGGGUUAUCCGGAAGCAUUGGGUUUAAAGGGUCCGUAGGCGGCCUUAUAAGUCAGUGGUGAAAGCCCAUCGCUUAACGAUGGAACGGCCAUUGAUACUGUAGGGCUUGAAUUUUUGUGAAGUAACUAGAAUAUGUAGUGUAGCGGUGAAAUGCUUAGAUAUUACAUGGAAUACCAAUUGCGAAGGCAGGUUACUAACAAACAAUUGACGCUGAUGGACGAAAGCGUGGGGAGCGAACAGGAUUAGAUACCCUGGUAGUC